Molecule: ribosomal RNA, 696 nt
Filed under: uncultured cyanobacterium
Lineage: Bacteria; Bacillati; Cyanobacteriota
Description: bacterial SSU rRNA
Rfam family: Bacterial small subunit ribosomal RNA
Source: RNAcentral
ACGGAACUUUUCGGAGUUCAGUGGCGGACGGGUGAGUAACGCGUGAGAAUCUGCCUUCUGGUCGGGGACAACCAUUGGAAACGGUGGCUAAUACCGGAUGAGCCUACGGGUAAAAGAUUUAUUGCCAGAAGAGGAGCUCGCGUCUGAUUAGCUAGUUGGUGAGGUAAAGGCUCACCAAGGCAUCGAUCAGUAGCUGGUCUGAGAGGAUGACCAGCCACACUGGGACUGAGACACGGCCCAGACUCCUACGGGAGGCAGCAGUGGGGAAUUUUCCGCAAUGGGCGAAAGCCUGACGGAGCAAGACCGCGUGAGGGAGGAAGGCUCUUGGGUUGUAAACCUCUUUUCUUGGGGAAGAAAAAGAUGACGGUACCCAAGGAAUCAGCAUCGGCUAACUCCGUGCCAGCAGCCGCGGUAAUACGGAGGAUGCAAGCGUUAUCCGGAAUUAUUGGGCGUAAAGCGUCCGCAGGUGGCACUUCAAGUCUGCUGUCAAAGGUCGGGGCUUAACCCCGGGAAGGCAGUGGAAACUGAAGCGCUAGAGUGUCGUAGGGGUAGAGGGAAUUCCCGGUGUAGCGGUGAAAUGCGUAGAGAUCGGGAAGAACAUCGGUGGCGAAAGCGCUCUACUGGACGACAACUGACACUCAGGGACGAAAGCUAGGGGAGCGAAUGGGAUUAGAUACCCCAGUAGUCCUAGCCGUA